CAAAUAGUCUGCAUUGCUUUUAAUAUUCUUCUAACAUUUCCCAUCAGCACUCUGAUGAAAAGAAUCUCACGAAAAAGGAUUAGUAAGCAAUGGACAUGAAGCGAGACAAUUGGAGGCAGCAUGAAGGCUAAAUCCAAAGGAUCCAAAAGGUGCAGCUGAAGAAAGAAAAAAGUUGGGAACCACCAGGUAUAAUAUUUUUAUUGUUAAAAAACCCUGAAAUUAUAAGGAUUAAGUAAUCAUUUUUUU
RNAcentral lists this long non-coding RNA (246 nucleotides) under Fukomys damarensis (Damara mole-rat). Its description in RNAcentral is "lncRNA (ENSFDAG00000030877.1)". Lineage: Eukaryota; Metazoa; Chordata; Mammalia; Rodentia; Bathyergidae. The record is from RNAcentral.